This 427-nucleotide ribosomal RNA is filed under the name uncultured bacterium. RNAcentral's name for it is "bacterial SSU rRNA". It matches the Rfam family "Bacterial small subunit ribosomal RNA", at positions 355 to 774 of the family's 1533-position model. The record is from RNAcentral.
UGGGGAAUAUUGGACAAUGGGCGAAAGCCUGAUCCAGCAAUGCCGCGUGUGUGAAGAAGGCCUGCGGGUUGUAAAGCACUUUCAAUUGGGAAGAAAAGCUGAUGGUUAAUACCCAUCAGUCUUGACGUUACCUUUAGAAGAAGCACCGGCUAACUCCGUGCCAGCAGCCGCGGUAAUACGGGGGGUGCAAGCGUUAAUCGGAAUUACUGGGCGUAAAGCGCGCGUAGGCGGUUUGACAAGUCGGAUGUGAAAGCCCCGGGCUCAACCUGGGAAUUGCAUUCGAUACUGUCUGACUAGAGUAUGGUAGAGGGAAGUGGAAUUCCAGGUGUAGCGGUGAAAUGCGUAGAUAUCUGGAGGAACAUCAGUGGCGAAGGCGGCUUCCUGGACCAAUACUGACGCUGAGGUGCGAAAGCGUGGGGAGCAAACA